This 56-nucleotide transfer RNA is filed under the name Plateros sp. UPOL A00494. RNAcentral's name for it is "partial tRNA-Ser". Lineage: Eukaryota; Metazoa; Arthropoda; Insecta; Coleoptera; Lycidae. The record is from RNAcentral.
AUAAACAUAUGAAUGCUUAUUUAAAAAGUUAGAAGCUUUUUGAUUGAUAUUUCUUU